Molecule: non-coding RNA, 91 nt
Filed under: Candidatus Atribacteria bacterium
Lineage: Bacteria; Pseudomonadati; Atribacterota; Atribacteria
Source: RNAcentral
GGGGGUGGAAAGAGUCGGCAGUUUUAUAAUCUAAAUAUUAUUUAGUUAUAAAUAAGGCUGUACAUGGGUUCGAUUCCCAUCACCUCCACCA